GACGAACGCUGGCGGCGUGCUUAACACAUGCAAGUCGAACGAAGCGUGAUUACGGAUUCUUCGGAUGAAGUAUGAUAUGACUGAGUGGCGGACGGGUGAGUAACGCGUGAGUAACCUGCCCUUCAGAGGGGGAUAGCGUUUGGAAACGAACGGUAAUACCGCAUAAUGUAUGUUGACCGCAUGAUCGAAAUACCAAAGAUUUAUCGCUGAAGGAUGGACUCGCGUCUGAUUAGGUAGUUGGUGGGGUAACGGCCUACCAAGCCGACGAUCAGUAGCCGGACUGAGAGGUUGACCGGCCACAUUGGGAGUGAGACACGGCACAGACUCCUACGGGAGGCAGCAGUGGGGAAGAUUGAACAAUGGGCGCAAGCCUGAUGCAGCAACGCCGCGUGAAGGAAGACGGUUUUCGGAUUGUAAACUUCUGUUCUUAGUGAAGAAUAAUGACGGUAGCUAAGGAGCAAGCCACGGCUAACUACGUG
RNAcentral lists this ribosomal RNA (479 nucleotides) under uncultured bacterium. RNAcentral describes it as "partial 16S ribosomal RNA". It matches the Rfam family "Bacterial small subunit ribosomal RNA", at positions 28 to 507 of the family's 1533-position model. The record is from RNAcentral.